This 785-nucleotide ribosomal RNA is filed under the name uncultured Bacillota bacterium. Its description in RNAcentral is "bacterial SSU rRNA". It matches the Rfam family "Bacterial small subunit ribosomal RNA", at positions 561 to 1343 of the family's 1533-position model. Lineage: Bacteria; Bacillati; Bacillota. The record is from RNAcentral.
UAAAGGGCGAGUAGGCGGGCUGGUAAGUUGGAAGUGAAAUGUCGGGGCUUAACCCNCGGAACUGCUUUCAAAACUGCUGGUCUUGAGUGAUGGAGAGGCAGGCGGAAUUCCUAGUGUAGCGGUGAAAUGCGUAGAUAUUAGGAGGAACACCAGUGGCGAAGGCGGCCUGCUGGACAUUAACUGACGCUGAGGAGCGAAAGCGUGGGGAGCAAACAGGAUUAGAUACCCUGGUAGUCCACGCCGUAAACGAUGGAUACUAGGUGUGGGAGGUAUUGACCCCUUCCGUGCCGCAGUUAACACAAUAAGUAUCCCACCUGGGGAGUACGACCGCAAGGUUGAAACUCAAAGGAAUUGACGGGGGCCCGCACAAGCAGUGGAGUAUGUGGUUUAAUUCGAAGCAACGCGAAGAACCUUACCUGGUCUUGACAUCCCGGUGACCGGCAUAGAGAUAUGCCUUUCCCUUCGGGGACAGCGGUGACAGGUGGUGCAUGGUUGUCGUCAGCUCGUGUCGUGAGAUGUUGGGUUAAGUCCCGCAACGAGCGCAACCCUUAUUGUUAGUUGCCAUCAUUCAGUUGGGCACUCUAGCGAGACUGCCGGUAAUAAACCGGAGGAAGGUGGGGAUGACGUCAAAUCAUCAUGCCCCUUAUGACCUGGGCUACACACGUGCUACAAUGGUUGGUACAACGAGUCGCAAGUCGGUGACGGCAAGCAAAUCUCUUAAAGCCAAUCUCAGUUCGGAUUGUAGGCUGCAACUCGCCUACAUGAAGUCGGAAUCGCUAGUAAUC